UGUGUUGUCCCAAAAGCAAAUAAUGCUUAUCUAGGGAUAAGCAUUAUUUGCUUUUGGGACAAACA
Paramuricea clavata is the source of this 65-nucleotide non-coding RNA. NCBI's taxonomy places the organism in Eukaryota, Metazoa, Cnidaria, Anthozoa, Malacalcyonacea, Plexauridae. The record is from the annotation of a GenBank genome assembly.